Molecule: long non-coding RNA, 723 nt
Filed under: Marmota monax (woodchuck)
Lineage: Eukaryota; Metazoa; Chordata; Mammalia; Rodentia; Sciuridae
Source: RNAcentral
AUAUAUGAUAUGAGGUAGGGAUCAAAUUUUGUUUCUCCCUACCUUUGGAGGUAACAAAUUGUCCCAACAUUGUUUUCCCACUAAUCGAUAAUGCCACUUUGGUUACAUACCAAAUUCCCAUAUUCAUGUGGAUCUGCUUCUGAGAACUUUACUCUGAAGCAGUGAGUGACCUAUUUCAGAGGUUGGUAAACUCUGUAUUUCAGGAACUCUGGCUCACAAGCACUGCUCAAGCAGGCUAAUAAUAUGAGUGGUGGCAACUCAGCCCAGGCAUACCCCUCUUCCCUGUUCUUCCCUUUCUGGUAGCCACCAAUCACUGCUGCCCAGGAUCCGUAGUCCCUGCCUACUUAUUGGAGGCUCUGCUGUUGAUAACUGCUAACAUGGAACAGUGGAAUCUUAGUCCAGUGGAAUCUUGGUCUAGGAGUUGGUGAUUUACUGAAUCACCUUGCGUAUGGCCACCUGCUUAAGUUAGGAUGGCCAAGCUCUCUGAGAGAUGAGAAAGGUGUGCUAAGUUUUGGGUGUGGCUAGGGCUGAAAAUGAAACUGGUGUGCUGCCUCCUUAUCUUCCUUCCUCCAAGACCAUCAAGUUCUUUCCCCACUAGGUAGAGUGACAAAACAUGAUGGAUUUCUGGAGAUGGAGAGGAUAAUUCAGGACCUGGAACUUUCAGGGCCUAAACAACUUCAGUCCUAGGUAAACCAGGAUAGAUGUUCAAUAGCCACUUUAUAC